AGCGGGAAAGUCCUUUAAAGGUAACCUGUCACUGUUCUGAUCUGUCCUGGGUGGUGACCUAUGUGAGACUUUGGUGUGGGAUCCCCCAUCCCUGUCAGAAUGUCACACAAGCCCUGCCAAUGACAUUGAUCCCAGCACUCACCUCAAAAGUUGUCCAUUGCAGAGCUGGAGAGAAAGCCAGGCAGUUCAAAAUGGCUUUAGUGCAGGAUUCCAUGUGUCUUCAGAAAACUUAUUUUCUGAAGAUUAUCAGGAAACGUAUGCAGCGAAAGCUGGGGUGAAUGUCACCCUGUCUGCUGGUGGAACUGAAGCGAAGAACAUUGCACGAAACACCCAAAUGCUGAGUUCUUACCACAGCUGAAGCCAAAGAUAACACUGGAAUCGGCCAUGGUAACGGUAGCUGUGGGACCUCCAGUGGGAGAGAUUCGUCCGGACUGUUGGGCAAGGAAGGACCAGAGAAAGUCCAGCUACACUGAUCUGCUGUCAAUUCUCCUAUCCUGCUGAACCUUGUCAGCUUCCUCUGUAUUUAUGUGGUUCUAUUUUGUUCUUGAGUUUGCAUAAGAGCAGAUACCAAUCUCCAAGGCACAGAGAAGACUCCCAAGUAUGAUCAACUAAGGUUACUUCCCUGGAAGCAAGGGUGUAGUCAUUCAAGACUUCUUCAAGAAGAUACAGAAACAAUUUCCCCAGAAAAGACAUGGGUGAAUCAUUACAGUAAUAGCCUGCCAAGAGUGUAACACACAGAGAUUCCAAUCAAAAGGGCCUCAGGUCAACUACCAAUCAUAACAUGUGGCUCAGCUUUGCUGGAGCUUUGUCAAGCAGCUGUGCUGGCUUCAUGAUUUUCUCUGUUCCCCUAGAAGAUGGGUGUGCCAGGGAAGUAAAAUAAAUGACACAUAAAUACAUAAUAAAUAAAUAAAUAAAUUCACUUAUUAAAAAA
Molecule: non-coding RNA, 931 nt
Organism: Peromyscus maniculatus bairdii (prairie deer mouse)
Lineage: Eukaryota; Metazoa; Chordata; Mammalia; Rodentia; Cricetidae
Source: RefSeq, a predicted model, not a curated record